Molecule: ribosomal RNA, 1536 nt
Filed under: Bacteroides ovatus
Lineage: Bacteria; Pseudomonadati; Bacteroidota; Bacteroidia; Bacteroidales; Bacteroidaceae
Description: bacterial SSU rRNA
Rfam family: Bacterial small subunit ribosomal RNA
Source: RNAcentral
CUUUUACAAUGAAGAGUUUGAUCCUGGCUCAGGAUGAACGCUAGCUACAGGCUUAACACAUGCAAGUCGAGGGGCAGCAUUUUAGUUUGCUUGCAAACUGAAGAUGGCGACCGGCGCACGGGUGAGUAACACGUAUCCAACCUACCGAUAACUCCGGAAUAGCCUUUCGAAAGAAAGAUUAAUAUCCGAUAGUAUAUUAAAACCGCAUGGUUUUACUAUUAAAGAAUUUCGGUUAUCGAUGGGGAUGCGUUCCAUUAGUUUGUUGGCGGGGUAACGGCCCACCAAGACUACGAUGGAUAGGGGUUCUGAGAGGAAGGUCCCCCACAUUGGAACUGAGACACGGUCCAAACUCCUACGGGAGGCAGCAGUGAGGAAUAUUGGUCAAUGGGCGAGAGCCUGAACCAGCCAAGUAGCGUGAAGGAUGAAGGCUCUAUGGGUCGUAAACUUCUUUUAUAUGGGAAUAAAGUUUUCCACGUGUGGAAUUUUGUAUGUACCAUAUGAAUAAGGAUCGGCUAACUCCGUGCCAGCAGCCGCGGUAAUACGGAGGAUCCGAGCGUUAUCCGGAUUUAUUGGGUUUAAAGGGAGCGUAGGUGGAUUGUUAAGUCAGUUGUGAAAGUUUGCGGCUCAACCGUAAAAUUGCAGUUGAAACUGGCAGUCUUGAGUACAGUAGAGGUGGGCGGAAUUCGUGGUGUAGCGGUGAAAUGCUUAGAUAUCACGAAGAACUCCGAUUGCGAAGGCAGCUCACUAGACUGUCACUGACACUGAUGCUCGAAAGUGUGGGUAUCAAACAGGAUUAGAUACCCUGGUAGUCCACACAGUAAACGAUGAAUACUCGCUGUUUGCGAUAUACAGUAAGCGGCCAAGCGAAAGCAUUAAGUAUUCCACCUGGGGAGUACGCCGGCAACGGUGAAACUCAAAGGAAUUGACGGGGGCCCGCACAAGCGGAGGAACAUGUGGUUUAAUUCGAUGAUACGCGAGGAACCUUACCCGGGCUUAAAUUGCAACAGAAUAUAUUGGAAACAGUAUAGCCGUAAGGCUGUUGUGAAGGUGCUGCAUGGUUGUCGUCAGCUCGUGCCGUGAGGUGUCGGCUUAAGUGCCAUAACGAGCGCAACCCUUAUCUUUAGUUACUAACAGGUUAUGCUGAGGACUCUAGAGAGACUGCCGUCGUAAGAUGUGAGGAAGGUGGGGAUGACGUCAAAUCAGCACGGCCCUUACGUCCGGGGCUACACACGUGUUACAAUGGGGGGUACAGAAGGCGGCUACCUGGUGACAGGAUGCUAAUCCCAAAAACCUCUCUCAGUUCGGAUCGAAGUCUGCAACCCGACUUCGUGAAGCUGGAUUCGCUAGUAAUCGCGCAUCAGCCAUGGCGCGGUGAAUACGUUCCCGGGCCUUGUACACACCGCCCGUCAAGCCAUGAAAGCCGGGGGUACCUGAAGUACGUAACCGCAAGGAGCGUCCUAGGGUAAAACUGGUAAUUGGGGCUAAGUCGUAACAAGGUAGCCGUACCGGAAGGUGCGGCUGGAACACCUCCUUUCU